CCUACGGGGGGCAGCAGUGGGGAAUAUUGGACAAUGGGGGGAACCCUGAUCCAGCCAUGCCGCGUGUGUGAAGAAGGCCCUCGGGUUGUAAAGCACUUUCAGUGAGGAAGAACGCCUGGUGGUUAAUACCCAUCAGGAAAGACAUCACUCACAGAAGAAGCACCGGCUAACUCCGUGCCAGCAGCCGCGGUAAUACGGAGGGUGUGAGCGUUAAUCGGAAUUACUGGGCGUAAAGCGCGCGUAGGUGGCUUGAUAAGCCGGUUGUGAAAGCCCCGGGCUCAACCUGGGAACGGCAUCCGGAACUGUCAAGCUAGAGUGCAGGAGAGGAAGGUAGAAUUCCCGGUGUAGCGGUGAAAUGCGUAGAGAUCGGGAGGAAUACCAGUGGCGAAGGCGGCCUUCUGGACUGACACUGACACUGAGGUGCGAAAGCGUGGGUAGCAAACAGGAUUAGAUACCCUUGUAGUC
RNAcentral lists this ribosomal RNA (465 nucleotides) under Vreelandella stevensii. Its description in RNAcentral is "partial 16S ribosomal RNA". It matches the Rfam family "Bacterial small subunit ribosomal RNA", at positions 338 to 795 of the family's 1533-position model. Lineage: Bacteria; Pseudomonadati; Pseudomonadota; Gammaproteobacteria; Oceanospirillales; Halomonadaceae. The record is from RNAcentral.